This 183-nucleotide ribosomal RNA is filed under the name Triticum aestivum (bread wheat). RNAcentral describes it as "partial small subunit ribosomal RNA". The record is from RNAcentral. Lineage: Eukaryota; Viridiplantae; Streptophyta; Magnoliopsida; Poales; Poaceae.
AUGUCGUUGCCCAAGGAACAUGGCGGCCUCGGCUUCCACGACUUGCAUGCUUUCAACAUAGCGAUGCUUUCACGACAAGUCUGGCGUCUGAUCCAGAUCCCAGAGUCUUUAUGUGCACGAGUCCUCCAAGCCAAGUAUUAUCCGCAUGGAGAUGUUCUAAAGCAUGAGGCAGUUCCAGGGUGA